AACCUAGCACACCUGCGGUGUGUACCUGCGGAGGGAUCAUUACAAGUAUCAGUGCUUAAAGAGAGACUGCGUCUGCGUCAGCGGACGAGCGCGCGAGUCUCCGGCCUCCCUAUGGUGCUUUUGCGCCGGGGGGCCGCAUGAAACCCGUGUUUAUACGUACCUUUUUGUUGCCUUGGCGGCUUCGGCCGUCAGAGGACCCCAUCUCAAACGCUUUUUGUAGUCAACGUUGCAGUCUGAGCG
This 240-nucleotide unclassified non-coding RNA is filed under the name soil metagenome. RNAcentral describes it as "partial contains 5.8S ribosomal RNA, internal transcribed spacer 2, and large subunit ribosomal RNA". The record is from RNAcentral.